This 1489-nucleotide long non-coding RNA is filed under the name Malus domestica (apple). RNAcentral describes it as "long non-coding RNA (MDOM_LNC007931)". The record is from RNAcentral. Lineage: Eukaryota; Viridiplantae; Streptophyta; Magnoliopsida; Rosales; Rosaceae.
UUUCGGGCGAACCCGUGCACUCCGAGGGCUUUUCCAGUCACCUCCGACCGAGUUACGGUAUUUGGAAGGUAUAAAUCUCUUCCUCUUUCUUUAUUCUUCAUGUUCGUACCUAGAUCGGAGCUUGAAGCCCCCGUUUUCAAGUGACCGAAGCUGUAGCAGCUCCGACCUUCUUCUUCCUCGGCAUCAGGCCAUCCAGCCUCUCCCAUUUCCUCCCAUCGGGCCUUAGGCCCGUGUUGUCUUAGGCCCAGUACCCUAACCCAUUCAGUUUUUCUUUUUAGUUAUUUAAUUUUUAAAACCCAAAGGGCUCGGGCCCUAGUUUUGAAUGGCCUUGGGCCGGUUAUAAAUCAAGGGCUUAAAGCCCCGUUUUCUGUUAGUGAGGCCUUAGGGCCUUGUGCCUGUGUGUGUGUGUUUAGGCAUGCACAUGCAUACCGUGCAUGUGUGUAUGUGUGUGUGUUGUUAAGUAUAUGUUUGGGCUUAAGCCCAAACCCCUUUCCAAACCCUAAACCCAUCCAAACCCAAUUCCCUUAUUUUAUUAGUUUAACCCAAUCUUUUAGAAAAUCCUUUUAUUUAAUUAUUACAUUCUUGUUCUUAGGUAAAAUUGCUAGUGGAGAAAUUCUAUAUCCUUAUUCGCGCGACUCUUCUGCUAAGGAAUAUUUAUGAGUGGACCCCUUCUAAAAUUACAUGAUUUGAUAAUUUAAUUGCAUAAAUGAUUAGCAUGCCUACGGAUUUAUAAUUUGAUUUAUGUGAAGCCUGUUGAUUGAAUAUAUUGAUUUUCAUCUCGUGUUUUGGUGAGGAAAUAAUUGUUAGCCUAUAUUGAGCUAUAUUUUAAUAUAUCGUAUUUUCUAUAAAACCAUGAACUGGUAGACUAUCUGAUAGAUGACGAUAGGAUGCUAGAACAUGUUUUUGAACCCCUCUUUAUAGUGUAGACGAUAAUCGGUAAUCUAUGCUAUGAAGUGGUUAUUUAUGAGAUGCGUAAAUAUUUGUGCGUACCUAGUAAACACUAUGCCACCUGGGGCAAGGAACUGGUGUUGGCAUUUAGGCCGAGAGAAAUAAUCCCUAGUUACGGGCUGAGGGACAUGGAGCAGGUAUUGGGCCGGGAGUUGGUAAUCUCUGGCUACGGGCGCAGAGACCACGGAGUAGGCAUUGGGCCGGGAGUUUAUUUAUUCGGUGAUCUUACUAGCAGCACACCGCGCUUACGAGAUGAUUUAUGAUGCGUUUACUGUUUUGAUUUCUGCAAUAUGAUUUUUGAGAUAUUUGGCAUGCUAGGAUUUUUAUUAAAUCCAUCACUUAUUAUGCUAGUAGUUUUCAUUUAUAUAAACUGUGGGGGUUAGUAUCUUGAUAACUGUUUUAUUAUUAUCGUACAUAUGAACUUGGUCCACUCAUCUUUGUUUUGCGCCCCUAUUCAGGUCAUAGAAACGAGGACUACGACUGGACGUACGAGGCAUUCCCCUACCAGUAGUACUCUAUCACCCACUUGUGUGAUAUCUUG